CAUCAAUCGUAACAUUGGUUGUGAUUCUCAUCAGAUGGAGAAGAAACAAAGACACACAGAUGAACGCAGAUGAAAUCAGAACCUUCUCAGCGGAGGAAACGAGAGGUUUUGAUAAACCUGACUCUUCUCUCUGUGAGGCCGACUCUUCUGUUCCUGUCGUCUCAGGGAACAAAACACAGACGGACAAACACACGGUCGACCCUGCAGAGGAUGUGUUCUACGCCUCCAUCAGCCACGCCCCUCACAGCUCG
Molecule: long non-coding RNA, 251 nt
Organism: Limanda limanda (common dab)
Lineage: Eukaryota; Metazoa; Chordata; Actinopteri; Pleuronectiformes; Pleuronectidae
Exons: 3
Source: RefSeq, a predicted model, not a curated record